UUGUUUUUUUUGUUUGUUUGUUUUUUUACCAUCUGUAUUAUUUUGGGGCAAGUCACCAAAUGCCUCAGAAUAAACUUCUACCUAUUAAUCUACACAGUUAUGCUAAGAAUUCUUGUUUUUCCUCAUUCAAAUGGCCUGAGAUGUUCAGAGCCCUUGACUGGGCUCUGAACCCAGGUUUUCCUCCCAACCCAUUCAUCGUCACUGAGCAUCCAAUGUUUCCUUUUUAGUCAUGCAACAUUUAGUCGUGCAACAUUUGUGUCAUGCUAAGCAUUUACUGGACAUUGCGAAAUGGAAACGAAUGACGCACACAAGAAGGAAUAAAUAAGAUACCCACAAGAUUUAUUAAACAAUCCAAAAAAAAAAAAAAAGAGGAAUAUUUGAGAAGGCAUAAGUAGGAAGAGAAAGGGGGCAGGAGAGGACAUAAAAAGAUAUAAAGCGGCGAGUUUUCCAUAGCCGGCUACAGAGUUGCUUAGGAACCCACAUAGACUACGAAACAAUGGACAAAUACUACACCCUGGAUUAGCCCAUCACAAUCAUUGCCUUUUGUCACCAGAAGUGGAAACAGAAUUGAGUUUGCUCCAUGGAACACACUCCUGUAGGUUUCUGGGACUCAGUUUUCUCAUCUGUAAAAUGAAGUGUUGAACUUCAUCAGAUCACGUUUAAAAUUCUUUUCAGCUACGGGGAUUGGGAGCAAGCCUACACGAACCACCGGGAAGAGCUUGCAUGUUUGACUUUAAGUCUCAUCUGUGAAUUCCAGUCUCAUCAUCAGAAUCUCUCCAGCAUGUUUCCCCUUUCCCUUUGUGCCUCUCACUCUUCUUGUCUGUCCACAGUUCAAAAGAUUUCUCCUGUCCAAAUGAUUUAUCCUUCUUGAUUUAUGCUGUCAGGUCUGUUUUAGAUAGAGUCCAGACACACUCAUGCGUUGCUUACACAUUCUAACCAAGAGAGACAACUUCAAAUGGAUCAAAGUUAUCUAAAAGAAAGAAUGAGAACUUUAGUCAAAGAUCAGAAGGAAAAAAUAAGAUGAUAAAAUAAACUUGGGAUAAAGAAUUCUAAGGUUUAAACCAAACCAAGGCAGGAAGCAUGUUUCUCUUUCACAAAAUCAGACUAAUUCUUCUGGGAAGGGUUCUUUGAGCAGCAAGGAGUUGCAGUUGCAGACAUGCAGAUCUUUGACGUGGCCACUUGGAGCUUGUCAAAGAGAAACAAUCUGAAAAUUCACUCUGGUCCCUCUGGCUCCCCUGGUUCGCUACACCCUGAGAAAGAAAAAGAUUACACAAGCGCCACCUUUUGGACAAAAUGGCAAUAGCAACAAAGAGGUCAGCUAUUAAAGAGUAUUAAUUCUAGCUCAUUCUUAAAGGGAAUAAUGAAGAGGUAAAUCAUUUUAAUCUUACCAUAAUGCUUGGAAGUUAUAUUCUACAUAGGUCUAGAAAUCUUCCCGCUUUAAAAAUAUAAGUAAAGACUGAAUUAAAACCUGAAUUUGUUGUUUGUCAUUUUUAAAUGGUGUAUUUAAAUAAAGUAAGUAUAUGUGACUUUGUUUUAAAA
Neogale vison (American mink) is the source of this 1539-nucleotide long non-coding RNA. RefSeq lists it as uncharacterized. The record is from RefSeq and is a predicted model, not a curated record. The transcript has 2 exons. Lineage: Eukaryota; Metazoa; Chordata; Mammalia; Carnivora; Mustelidae.